CAGGCCUAACACAUGCAAGUCGAGCGCUUGGGGUGUUCCCUUACGGGAAACCCCCUGGAGCGGCGGACGGGUGAGUAACGCGUAGGCAACCUGCCUGUAAGAUCGGGAUAACUACCGGAAACGGUAGCUAAGACCGGAUAGCUGGUUUCUCCGCAUGGGGGAAUCAUGAAACACGGGGCAACCUGUGGCUUACGGAUGGGCCUGCGGCGCAUUAGCUAGUUGGUGGGGUAAUGGCCCACCAAGGCGACGAUGCGUAGCCGACCUGAGAGGGUGAUCGGCCACACUGGGACUGAGACACGGCCCAGACUCCUACGGGAGGCAGCAGUAGGGAAUCUUCCGCAAUGGGCGCAAGCCUGACGGAGCAACGCCGCGUGAGUGAUGAAGGUUUUCGGAUCGUAGAGCUCUGUUGCCAAGGAAGAACGCCUCGGAGAGUAACUGCUCUGAGGGUGACGGUACUUGAGAAGAAAGCCCCGGCUAACUACGUGCCAGCAGCCGCGGUAAUACGUAGGGGGCAAGCGUUGUCCGGAAUUAUUGGGCGUAAAGCGCGCGCAGGCGGUCUUUUAAGUUUGGUGUUUAAGCCCGGGGCUCAACCCCGGUUCGCACUGAAAACUGGGAGACUUGAGUGCAGGAGAGGAAAGCGGAAUUCCACGUGUAGCGGUGAAAUGCGUAGAGAUGUGGAGGAACACCAGUGGCGAAGGCGGCUUUCUGGACUGUAACUGACGCUGAGGCGCGAAAGCGUGGGGAGCAAAC
Molecule: ribosomal RNA, 750 nt
Filed under: uncultured bacterium
Lineage: Bacteria
Description: bacterial SSU rRNA
Rfam family: Bacterial small subunit ribosomal RNA
Source: RNAcentral